UACAGAGGGUGCGAGCGUUGUUCGGAAUUAUUGGGCGUAAAGCGCGUGUAGGCGGCGAUUUAAGUCGGGUGUGAAAUCCCUCAGCUCAACUGAGGAAGUGCGCCCGAGACUGAAUCGCUUGAGUGCCGGAGAGGGUGGCGGAAUUCCCCAAGUAGAGGUGAAAUUCGUAGAGAUGGGGAGGAACACCGGAGGCGAAGGCGGCCACCUGGACGGUAACUGACGCUGAGACGCGAAAGCGUGGGUAGCAAACAGG
Molecule: ribosomal RNA, 253 nt
Filed under: uncultured bacterium
Lineage: Bacteria
Description: partial 16S ribosomal RNA
Rfam family: Bacterial small subunit ribosomal RNA
Source: RNAcentral